GCCUACGGCCAUACCAGUCUGAAAGUGCCUGAUCUCGUCAGAUCUCAGAAGUCAUGCAGACUUGGGCCUGCUUAGUACUUGUUUGGGAUACCAAUUAGGAACAUCACAUGCUGUAAGCU
This 119-nucleotide ribosomal RNA is filed under the name Pelobates cultripes (western spadefoot toad). The record is from RNAcentral. Lineage: Eukaryota; Metazoa; Chordata; Amphibia; Anura; Pelobatidae.